GGCGCGGUAGCCAAGUGGUAAGGCAGGAGUCUGCAAAACUUCUAUUCGUCGGUUCGAUUCCGUCUCGCGCCUCCA
Molecule: transfer RNA, 75 nt
Filed under: Puniceicoccales bacterium
Lineage: Bacteria; Pseudomonadati; Verrucomicrobiota; Opitutia; Puniceicoccales
Description: tRNA-Cys
Rfam family: tRNA
About the family: Transfer RNA (tRNA) molecules are approximately 80 nucleotides in length. Their secondary structure includes four short double-helical elements and three loops (D, anti-codon, and T loops).
Source: RNAcentral